Molecule: long non-coding RNA, 325 nt
Filed under: Musa acuminata (dwarf banana)
Lineage: Eukaryota; Viridiplantae; Streptophyta; Magnoliopsida; Zingiberales; Musaceae
Description: long non-coding RNA (MACU_LNC006668)
Source: RNAcentral
AGCAGAGGGGGACUUUGCAGGGGUCGGGGUGGACGCAGAUGGCGGAGUGGAGACGGAGGAGCUGCCACAGACGCUUGCAGCGAGGGCAGCCGUGCUGCUGCUGCUGCUGUUGCGGCGGCUUCUUCUUGCGGUCGCAGGCGGCAAGGUGGUGGAUGAGCUGCUGGAGGCCACGGCAGGUGGCGGGGUUCGGGCAAUGGGUGGGGUCACGCGGCGGCGGUCCGCGGCCGGAUGGCCCGACCUCGGUGCAGCCCUCCGCGCAGAUGUGCUGCAAGCACUCCAUGGCCUCGCUCAGCUCCGUGUAUACUUUCUCCUCCUCCCUCUUCCG